This 208-nucleotide ribosomal RNA is filed under the name uncultured bacterium. RNAcentral describes it as "partial 16S ribosomal RNA". It matches the Rfam family "Bacterial small subunit ribosomal RNA", at positions 568 to 774 of the family's 1533-position model. The record is from RNAcentral.
UGCGUAGGCGGGUCUUUAAGUCAGGGGUGAAAUCCUGGAGCUCAACUCCAGAACUGCCUUUGAUACUGAGGAUCUUGAGUUCGGGAGAGGUGAGUGGAACUGCGAGUGUAGAGGUGAAAUUCGUAGAUAUUCGCAAGAACACCAGUGGCGAAGGCGGCUCACUAGCCCGAUACUGACGCUGAGGCACGAAAGCGUGGGGGAGCAAACA